AAGCGGGUGGAGCAUGUGGUUUAAUUCGAAGCAACGCGCAGAACCUUACCAGCCUUGACAUGGGGAUCGCGGUCGACGGAGACGUGACCUUCAGUUCGGCUGGAUCCCGCACAGGUGCUGCAUGGCUGUCGUCAGCUCGUGUCGUGAGAUGUUGGGUUAAGUCCCGCAACGAGCGCAACCCUCGUCCUUAGUUGCCAGCAUUCAGUUGGGCACUCUAAGGAAACUGCCGGUGACAAGCCGGAGGAAGGUGGGGAUGACGUCAAGUCCUCAUGGCCCUUACGGGCUGGGCUACACACGUGCUACAAUGGCGUCUACAGUGGGCAGCGAACCGGCGACGGUAAGCUAAUCUCCAAAGGACGUCUCAGUUCGGAUUGUUCUCUGCAACUCGAGAGCAUGAAGUCGGAAUCGCUAGUAAUCGUGGAUCAGCAUGCCACGGUGAAUACGUUCCCGGGCCUU
This 456-nucleotide ribosomal RNA is filed under the name uncultured Novispirillum sp. Its description in RNAcentral is "bacterial SSU rRNA". It matches the Rfam family "Bacterial small subunit ribosomal RNA", at positions 927 to 1382 of the family's 1533-position model. Lineage: Bacteria; Pseudomonadati; Pseudomonadota; Alphaproteobacteria; Rhodospirillales; Novispirillaceae. The record is from RNAcentral.